This is a long non-coding RNA of Micropterus salmoides (largemouth bass), 351 nucleotides long. RefSeq lists it as uncharacterized. Lineage: Eukaryota; Metazoa; Chordata; Actinopteri; Centrarchiformes; Centrarchidae. The record is from RefSeq and is a predicted model, not a curated record. The transcript is spliced from 2 exons.
UUCACCCAGGGCUCUCAGGGCACUCCCAAACUGCAGGGGGCAAUCAUGCAACAAAAGUUGGUGGAACCAACUUUUGGGGAAGUAGCUUUGGGACUAUAUUUGCCUGCGCACCCACAGAGAGAGCAUGGCAUUGAAAUGUUUGUAGAGAGUUCGGUUGGUUCUCUCAUUUAUUCCUGGAAAAGGACACUAUGAUUACAGCUCCUGAUCACUCAAAGACGCAACUGGUUAUCAACCUAUACCUACUGCCCCACACUGAUCUAUCAAGUCACAUUCAAGAAACUAUACCAUAUUAUUCCAUCACUGGUCUAUCAAACCAUCUCAAAGAAAAUAAAGAAUCAAGAAGUGAAAAGA